This 253-nucleotide ribosomal RNA is filed under the name uncultured bacterium. RNAcentral describes it as "partial 16S ribosomal RNA". It matches the Rfam family "Bacterial small subunit ribosomal RNA", at positions 524 to 776 of the family's 1533-position model. The record is from RNAcentral.
UACGGGGGGUGCAAGCGUUAUCCGGAUUCACUGGGUUUAAAGGGUGCGUAGGUGGGCUGGUAAGUCAGUGGUGAAAUCUCCAGGCUUAACUUGGAAACUGCCAUUGAUACUAUCAGUCUUGAAUACCGUGGAGGUCAGCGGAAUAUGUCAUGUAGCGGUGAAAUGCUUAGAUAUGACAUAGAACACCAAUUGCGAAGGCAGCUGGCUACACGAAUAUUGACACUGAUGCACGAAAGCGUGGGGAUCAAACAGG